Molecule: ribosomal RNA, 440 nt
Filed under: uncultured bacterium
Lineage: Bacteria
Description: partial 16S ribosomal RNA
Rfam family: Bacterial small subunit ribosomal RNA
Source: RNAcentral
CCUACGGGAGGCAGCAGUAGGGAAUAUUGCUCAAUGGGGGAAACCCUGACGCAGCAACGCCGCGUGGAGGAUGAAGGUUUUCGGAUUGUAAACUCCUUUUGUUAGAGAAGAUAAUGACGGUAUCUAACGAAUAAGCACUGGCUAACUCCGAGCCAGCAGCCGCGGUAAUACGGAGGGUGCAAGCGUUACUCGGAAUGACUGGGCGUAAAGUGCGCGUAGGCGGGAUAGCAAGUCAGAUGUGAAAUCCUAUGGCUUAACCAUAGAACUGCAUUUGAAACUGUUAUUCUAGAGUAUGGGAGAGGAAGGUGGAAUUCUAGGUGUAGGGGUAAAAUCCGCAGAGAUAAAGAGGAAUACUCAUUGCGAAGGCGACUUUCUAGAACAUAACUGACGCUGAUGUGCGAAAGCGUGGGGAGCAAACAGGAUUAGAUACCCGAGUAGUC